RNAcentral lists this long non-coding RNA (1324 nucleotides) under Bos indicus x Bos taurus (hybrid cattle). Its description in RNAcentral is "lncRNA (ENSBIXG00000009730.1)". Lineage: Eukaryota; Metazoa; Chordata; Mammalia; Artiodactyla; Bovidae. The record is from RNAcentral.
GCUGGAUGUGGGGGAGGGCAGUGCAGAAGAGAAGGCUAAUCAUCUAACUCAGGAACUGCAUGGAGGCCUAAAGAAAGAACAGUACAUUCUUAGCACAGCUUGUGCUUCACAGUCUUCAACAAUCCAAUGUGCUAAGCAGAUAAUAGCAUUGGCAACGUUAGUCUCACUUUUUGGAUGAAACAAUGGCUCCCAUCUGUGGACUUACAGGUCUUUUCCACAGAGGCUGGGCAGGUCUGUGGCAGAACUGGCAGAGGGACACCACCCCUGCCCGACACUUCCUUGUUUAAAGGGGCUCUUGUGGAACUUUUGGAACUUGGAAUAGAACCCCUGGAAAUCACCUCCUCAUUUUCAGGAGAGGAUCAAGACCCUGAGUCUGGUGACGUUUGCAUGACUGGUGCCAGAAGAACAAUGAGCCAGGCUGGGGAACUUCAGCUGAAGAAUGUAGAUGCUACCAAGCUCAGCACCCAAUGGCUUCUAAUAAAACCCAAGUGACACUCUGGCAGAAAUGGAGCCCUUACCCAUUCAUCAACGAGUAAAUGGCUUUCUCUUUUCACCAGUUAACUUAGCAAAUAGCCACUGGAAACCUCUUCUGUAUUUGCAGAGACCUCUAUGUGGGGUUUAGAAGAAUAGAUUCUUGCUCUCAAAACUCUGCAGUCUCAGAAGGGAAGACUGUUCAAACGAGCCAAUUUAAUGCUAUACUGUUAUAGAAAUUGGGUAAGAGGGACAGAGAAGGCCUUAGGAGGAGACUCCUUGUGUGUGUGUGUGUGUGUGUACGUGCGUGGGGUGGAGGGUAUAUCAUAUCAAUUUCUAUAUAGACAUAAACUAUCUUAUCAAGAAAUACUUGGUGUGUUUCUACAUUUACAGUGAGCUCCCUUGAAUGUAUAUCCUGGUGACUUUGGGGAAUAUAUCUAGCCAGUUAACUUCUAGCACUGGAAUUGUUUGGUUAAAGGGAGAACAUUUCCAAAUUUAUUUUCCAAGAAGUUUGCGCUGGUUUCCUCUCCCUCCCUUUUCCUCCCUUCCCCACACAUCCCCCAGGUCCUUAACAGCUGGCUGCAACAAGCAUCUUGUGCGAGGAUGCUGAGUCACUUCAGUUGUGUCCGACUCUUUGAGGCCCAAUGGACCAUAGCCCGCCAGGCUCCUCUGUCCAUGGGAUUCUCCAGGCAGGACUACUGGAGUGGAUUGCCAUGCCCUCCUCCAGGGGAUCUUCCUGACCCAGGGACUGAACCCAGGUCUCUUACGUGUCCUGCAUUGACAGGUGAGUACUUUACUACUAGCGCCACCUGGCUGGCAGGAUCUGCUUCCUGACUGAGGGUCAGACCCACAC